This is a long non-coding RNA of Actinia tenebrosa (Australian red waratah sea anemone), 830 nucleotides long. RefSeq lists it as uncharacterized. The record is from RefSeq and is a predicted model, not a curated record. NCBI's taxonomy places the organism in Eukaryota, Metazoa, Cnidaria, Anthozoa, Actiniaria, Actiniidae.
GUAUAUUCUUUCGACGAAGAAGUUGAUCAAGAUGUACAGGAGAAGAACAAUGAUGCAAGCGUUGGUAGAUCUUGAUCCUCGCUGUUGAUAUAUCGGACCAAAGCCAUUGUUGAUCAUUCUUCGGUUUAGCAUCGUUUAAAUACCAGUCUGGCCAAGAUGUCGAUUGACUAGCAUAAACAAGUUAUGUGUAGCCCUGGUGAAAUAAGAUUGAUAGUAUAUUUCACUUUAUAAAACUACCUUAUACCAACGGCUAGGGCAUUAAUUAGGUGGGUGGGGCAGGGGCACUGGAGUACAAGAGGGCCAGGCCAUUAAUUCAUAGCAAGAAUAAAGCGAGAUUGGCUGUUUUAAUAAGGUUAUGUAAGCAAAAUGUAAACAAGGAAGAUACCUGURAUGAGGAGAGAGAGAUCAGCAAACAUUGUGAAACAUAUCAUGAGAGGUAGGAAUAUUUAAACAUGGUGCUCAUUGAUUUCCAACCCCCCUCCCCCCAUCAUCAGCCCAUGCAACUUAGUUCUGGCUGUCUUAACCAGAGUUCAAGUUGGACUGCAAGCUUGCUUAAUUAUGUACUGUAGUCUUGUAACUUAUAGACUUUAACUGCUGGGGAUGUUGCAUUCCCUUGAGCGUUAUUUUUUUAUAUUUUGAGAUACAACAUUUUGAGGUACGCAUUUAUCUAGGCUUUGCCAAUAUUGGUAACAGUACAUGUAUUUAUAAUUAAGACUUACAUUUUGAUUCUUCCCAAGAGUAGGGUCUUUUUUGCUGCUGUGUUCUUGAUGUGUGUCCACUGGGAUUCCCUUUACAAUAAUUAAAAACAAAAAUGUGAAUUUCAAACUGUA